RNAcentral lists this ribosomal RNA (433 nucleotides) under uncultured bacterium. Its description in RNAcentral is "partial 16S ribosomal RNA". It matches the Rfam family "Bacterial small subunit ribosomal RNA", at positions 29 to 507 of the family's 1533-position model. The record is from RNAcentral.
AACGAACGCUGGCGGCAGGCCUAACACAUGCAAGUCGAACGAAGUCUUCGGACUUAGUGGCGCACGGGUGAGUAACACGUGGGAAUAUACCUUACGCCGGGGGAUAACAUCGGGAAACUGAUGCUAAUACCGCAUACGCCCUUCGGGGGAAAGAUUUAUCGGCGAAAGAUUAGCCCGCGUCCGAUUAGCUAGUUGGUGAGGUAAUGGCUCACCAAGGCUCCGAUCGGUAGCUGGUCUGAGAGGAUGACCAGCCACACUGGGACUGAGACACGGCCCAGACUCCUACGGGAGGCAGCAGUGGGGAAUAUUGGACAAUGGGCGCAAGCCUGAUCCAGCCAUGCCGCGUGAGUGAUGAAGGCCUUAGGGUUGUAAAGCUCUUUCACCCACGACGAUGAUGACGGUAGUGGGAGAAGAAGCCCCGGCUAACUUCGUG